UGGGGCUGUGGCUUAGUGAUAGAGCACUUGCCUAGCAUGCAUGAGACCCUGGGUUCCAUUCCCAACACCACAA
Molecule: transfer RNA, 73 nt
Filed under: Marmota monax (woodchuck)
Lineage: Eukaryota; Metazoa; Chordata; Mammalia; Rodentia; Sciuridae
Description: tRNA.Ala
Rfam family: tRNA
About the family: Transfer RNA (tRNA) molecules are approximately 80 nucleotides in length. Their secondary structure includes four short double-helical elements and three loops (D, anti-codon, and T loops).
Source: RNAcentral